GUAAACGGCGGCCGUAACUAUAACGGUCCUAAGGUAGCGAAAUUCCUUGUCGGGUAAGUUCCGACCCGCACGAAAGGCGUAAUGAUUUGAGCACUGUCUCGACAAUGCAUCCGGUGAAAUUGAAGUACCAGUGAAGAUGCUGGUUACCCGCGCCAGGACGGAAAGACCCCAUGGAGCUUUACUCCAGUUUGAUACUGGGAUUCGGUACUGCACGUACAGGAUAGGUGGGAGACUGAGAACUAUGGACGCCAGUCUGUAGGGAGUCGCUGUUGGGAUACCACCCCUGUAGUACUGGGUUUCUAACCAUCUGCCGUGACCCGGCAGUGGGACAAUGUCAGGCGGGGAGUUUGACUGGGGCGGUCGCCUCCGAAAGGGUAUCGGAGGCGCUCAAAGGUUCCCUCAGAAUGGUCGGAAACCAUUUGAAGAGUGCAAAGGCAGAAGGGAGCUUGACUGCGACACCGACGGGUGGAGCAGGUACGAAAGUAGGACUUAGUGAUCCGGUGGUAUAAAGUGGGAUUGCCAUCGCUCAACGGAUAAAAGCUACCCUGGGGAUAACAGGCUUAUCACUCCCAAGAGUUCACAUCGACGGAGUGGUUUGGCACCUCGAUGUCGGCUCAUCGCAUCCUGGGGCUGUAGCAGGUCCCAAGGGUUGGGCUGUUCGCCCAUUAAAGCGGUACGCGAGCUGGGUUCAGAACGUCGUGAGACAGUUCGGUCCCUAUCCGGCGCGGGCGGAGGAUAUUUGAGAGGAGCUGUCCUUAGUACGAGAGGACCGGGAUGGACGGACCACUGGUGUAUCUGUUGUCGACCAACGGCAUGGCAGAGUAGCCAAGUCUGGAAGGGAUAAACGCUGAAGGCAUCUAAGCGUGAAGCCCCCCUCAAGAUGAGAUAUCCCUCCUUCGGGAGUAAGACCCCUUGAAGACUACAAGGUAGAUAGGGCAGAGGUGGAAGUGUGGCAACACAUGGAGCUGACUGUUACUAAUAGGUCGAGGGCUUGAUUAA
Molecule: ribosomal RNA, 999 nt
Filed under: human gut metagenome
Description: bacterial LSU rRNA
Rfam family: Bacterial large subunit ribosomal RNA
Source: RNAcentral